This 1235-nucleotide long non-coding RNA is filed under the name Helianthus annuus (common sunflower). Its description in RNAcentral is "sRNA HanXRQr2_Chr16g0751121". The record is from RNAcentral. Lineage: Eukaryota; Viridiplantae; Streptophyta; Magnoliopsida; Asterales; Asteraceae.
UCACCAACAAAAGUCAAUCGAAAAACUACCUGACGAAUCUCCGGCAAUAAAGUGACGGCUGUCGAACCCGAGGGCGUAACGACAGCAACACCUUCCACCCAACCGGCAACGCUUUCACAAACAGCGCAGCAUCGACAUACUUCCUCCGCCUCCUAGUACUCCCCCACCGGCCGUCCAAACCGUUCAAAAACCCUAGAAACUCAUCCUCCCUCGCCAUCCCCUCAGUCAUCCUAUUCAAUCUAGCUUCAAACACACCAUCAGCCUCACACACCAAAUAUUUCAAAUCAAUCAUCUCUCCAUUCACAUCAACAAAAUCUAAACCCUUAUAUUCACUCUCAUUCUCCACUUUCCUCUUCCUCUUCCUCUUCUUCACUCCGCUAGGGUUUUCCUCCACCGCCACCACCGGAACCGCCGUGCCUCUGCUAUCGUACGCCGGAGCAGCCGAUGCUCUGCUACCGUGCGCCGGAACCGCUGUGCCUCUGCUAUCGUACGCCUCUCCGUCCGUAACUAAUCUCCGUAACGAAUUCAAAAUCAACUUGUUCUCCCUCACCUGUACGUCAGCGUCGCCGUCGCUGACGUCAUCGGGAACGCGACGGCGAUAUCCACGGCGGUAGGAGAAGGCGUAAAUUCUCCUCGGAGUGGUGUUAACGGCGGCGGUUGAGCCGGUAUACCGGGAAUCGGAGUCGACUUUCUUUACGACGUCGUUUCCUUCGUCAGGACCGUCGGAUGAAGAGCGAGAAAUUAACGGCGGCGGUUGAGCCGGUAUACCGGGAAUCGGAGUCGACUUUCUUUACGACGUCGUUUCCUUCGUCAGGACCGUCGGAUGAAGAGCGAGAAAGUGCGUAAAGCUCCCACUGAGAGAAUUUCUUCAUAUCUAUACUCACACACGAGUUGAAGUUCAAUGCCGGAUUACUACCGUUACCGUUACCGUUACCGUCAAGUGAUGGUUGAUGAGUGUUUUGAAUCGGCAUUUCGGAGUUUGUUACACCGGCGAUGGUGAAAUGAGGUGGUGUGGAUGAUCGGAAUGGAGGAGGAAUUCAGGCGGUGAGUUGGCCGGAGAAAUAAUAAGAGUGAAAGUUGGUGAUGACACAAGAAAGAGAGACAAGAGUAUGUAACCGAUGUCUUUUUCAGCUUGAUUUCCACGUGUCUGGUCAUACUCAUGUAAUCCUUGUUUUCAUUAUCAUUUUUUAUUUUUUUGAAAAGUCAUUAACAGAAAGAUCAUUAUUACUUAGGUU